GGAGCAGCACCAGAAGAAACCCUAUUUGCCACUUGACCCCUUCCAGAUUGACCUGAGGAUAGGUGUGGAAUGGACUUCAUUGAUGAAGCACUGGGUAAACCAGGUUUUUGCUUCUUGCUCUUUGAUCCUGAGACAGGUCCACGUUUAGCAGUUGAUGAAGAUGGCUGAUGUGAAGCAGAAACAGCUUGUGGGUGAAAUGACGGAGAUGGACCACCAAAGGAUUGAGAUGAGGUAAUCUUUUGUUUCUUGCGAGAUGCAGAGACAGUAGGACUGGGUAUUGGAUCAUGAACAGCUUGACCUGUACCAAGUAUGCCAGAUUGAAGCCCACCAGUCUGUCUCCACUCCCUUAUUCUGCGUAUGACAUCAUCAGCAUUAACCCUGCCAAGAAGCUCUCUAUGCUCCUCAUUAG
This 409-nucleotide unclassified non-coding RNA is filed under the name Hevea brasiliensis (rubber tree). Lineage: Eukaryota; Viridiplantae; Streptophyta; Magnoliopsida; Malpighiales; Euphorbiaceae. The record is from RNAcentral.